GACUGCGUGAAGUCGGAAUCGCUAGUAAUCGCGAAUCAGAAUGUCGCGGUGAAUACGUUCCCGGGCCUUGUACACACCGCCCGUCACACCAUGGGAGUGGGUUGCACCAGAAGUAGCUAGUCUAACCCUCGGGAGGACGGUUACCACGGUGUGAUUCAUGACUGGGGUGAAGUCGUAACAAGGUAGCCGUAGGGGAACCUGCGGCUGGAUCACCUCCUUA
Molecule: ribosomal RNA, 220 nt
Filed under: Pseudomonas lactis
Lineage: Bacteria; Pseudomonadati; Pseudomonadota; Gammaproteobacteria; Pseudomonadales; Pseudomonadaceae
Also listed under: 1 other name
Description: partial 16S ribosomal RNA
Rfam family: Bacterial small subunit ribosomal RNA
Source: RNAcentral